CCCUCAGAAGGGGUUCUUCGAAGAGGUGUUGGGAGUCCCGCGUCGAAAGGGGACCCGGGGGUCACGUGACGGGCCAAGAUGGCGGUCUCUGGUGAAGGUGCAGACUUGGAGGCUUCAUUGCUGAGCUUUGAAAAGUUGGACCGGGCAUCACCAGACCUAUGGCCAGAACAAUUACCAGGUGUUGCUGAAUUUGCAGCUUCUUUUAAAAGUCCUAUCACCAGUUCUCCUCCCAAAUGGAUGGCUGAAUUAGAAAAUGAUGAUAUUGACAUGUUAAAAGAGUUGGGCAGUCUCACGACAGCUAAUCUAAUGGAAAAAGUACGAGGUUUACAGAAUCUGGCGUAUCAGUUGGGGCUGGAUGAAUACACUCCUGCGAUGUAGGUGGGACUGAGAUCAGGACCUCUCCAGACAAUCUUAAUCACAAUGGUUGAUAGAAGGAGAUUCAUCCUGACAGCAAGAGAAAUGACACGAGGAAAAUUCCUCAACAUCCUGGAGAAGCCCAAAAAAUAGCAGAUAUGGAAAUAAGUACGCCUGACAACCACCAUUUCCAUGGACACUGAAGUGGAAAGACCAGUGCUCCACCAUAAGCGACUGGAUGUUUUCUGGACUAUUGCCUCUGCUCUGAUGAGAAACAAGGAUACGGCCAGUUUCCUAAGCAACACCAAGUUCUUCCCAUCUACAUUUGUUGGGGGUUAACAGAAUUUUAUGCAAGAAUUUUAUCAGAAUACAAUUAAAAACAGUUGUAUGUGUGUGUAAUGUUAUGAUAUAGAUCCGUGUCCAAGAACAAUGUGUUAAGUUUCUUUGGGGCACAACUUUGUAUUUGAAAGUAUCUUGCUGAAAUACCUUGCUGUAUUUCUGAACAGUAUAACUCUGUUUGAAAUCUGCUUACUUUUGAUUUUCUUCUAACUAACCUAAGGACAGGGUAAUUUUCUUUUAUACUUUUACAUGUUGGCAUUGUGUAUAGUAAGAGUGUCACCCUCCAGAUGUUAAACUGCAGCUCCCACUAUCCUUGACCAUUGACAAAGCUGGCUAAGGCUGCUGGGACUUGAAGUCCUACAACAUAGAUUCAUGGGGCCACUUAUCAACACAGAUUUUGUGUUUUGCUUUAUUGUUUCUUUUUCUAUAUAGUUCUAGACAGUCAUGCUAUGCAUAUGCUACAGUGGGAAAUGGAAAGUGUGCCUUACUGAAUGAUAAGAAAACACUCCUGUGCCAUAUAUUCAGCGUUGUAUAUUUGUUCUGCUGUAUAUUUUGUUUGGAUCACACUUAAAUGCAAAAUCUUAUAUUUUUUCAUGACAGCUCCCCCAAACAGACUUUAUCAUAUUUUCAUUUGUCUUAGCAUCUCUGUGCUGUUUUACUUAUGUACACCUCUCCAGGUGACAGUUACGCUAAAUUGGAGUCACCUUCUGUUUCAUAAAUGGCUAAAAUGGCUUUUUAACAAGAAACUUGACCAGGGUGUUGGAUUCAAGCAUGUUGCUCUAGAAUGAAAUGUUGGAAUACACUUUUGGGGAAAUCCAAAAUUAACCAAUUGUAUAUGCAUUUAUCUUGGUGAGACAAUAGAGUACAUGAUUAAGUUAUGGCCUAUGUAUUUUAGUGAAAAGUUUGUGCUUGUGUAUAUAUAUGUGUAUAUGUGUGGGGGUAUAUGCGUAUGUAUGUGUAUGUAUGUAUAUAUAUAUGUGUGUGUGUGUGUGUGUGUGUAUGUAUAUGUAUGUGUAUACACACACACAUACAAUGCCAUCUUUCCACGGGCCAGACAAAGCCUUGACAUUUCCCAGUGGAGAAGGGAAGAACAUCCUUUGGGUGGGUUUCUCCUCUCACUUGCUCCAGUAGCAGGAAAAAUAGUUGAAUGCUGAGUGAUUUCACCACAGAGUUCUUGAUUUGCACUGUUUAAUCUACAGACGCCAUGAUGUUAGUUUCAUGACAUAUGGGUGAAAUAUAACCAAGAGGCUAUUAUAUGCAACUUUACAUGUAAUACAUAAGCAAUUCUGCACUUGAGGCAGUUUAUACAGUGCAUGGAUGAAAGAUUUCUGCUGUAGAUCUGCUAAUUUUCUGGUUUAAAUUAAAAUCUUUGUUUAUUUGAGUGCAA
This is an RNA transcript of Anolis sagrei ordinatus, 2080 nucleotides long. It is a transcript of the gene named lin-52 DREAM MuvB core complex component, with no coding region annotated. The record is from RefSeq and is a predicted model, not a curated record. NCBI's taxonomy places the organism in Eukaryota, Metazoa, Chordata, Lepidosauria, Squamata, Anolidae.